Molecule: ribosomal RNA, 466 nt
Filed under: uncultured bacterium
Lineage: Bacteria
Description: bacterial SSU rRNA
Rfam family: Bacterial small subunit ribosomal RNA
Source: RNAcentral
AUUGAACGCUGGCGGUAUGCUUAAGACAUGCAAGUCGAACGGUAACAGGUUAAGCUGACGAGUGGCGGACGAGUGAGUAACGCGUGGGAAUCUACCUUGUAGUGGGGGAUAAGCCAGGGAAACUUGGACUAAUACCGCAUACGCCCUAAGGGGAAAGGCGCAAGUCGCUAUAAGAUGGGCCCGCGUCUGAUUAGGUAGUUGGUGGGGUAAAGGCCUACCAAGCCGACGAUCAGUAGCUGGUCUGAGAGGAUGAUCAGCCACGUCGGGACUGAGACACGGCCCGGACUCCUACGGGAGGCAGCAGUCGGGAAUAUUGGACAAUGGGGGAAACCCUGAUCCAGCAAUACCGCGUGUGUGAAGAAGGCCUGCGGGUUGUAAAGCACUUUCAGUUGGGAAGAUAAUGACGUUACCAACAGAAGAAGCACCGGCUAACUCCGUGCCAGCAGCCGCGGUAAGGUGCGCGAGU